Molecule: ribosomal RNA, 234 nt
Filed under: Clostridioides difficile
Lineage: Bacteria; Bacillati; Bacillota; Clostridia; Peptostreptococcales; Peptostreptococcaceae
Description: partial 16S ribosomal RNA
Rfam family: Bacterial small subunit ribosomal RNA
Source: RNAcentral
GCUACAAUGGGUAGUACAGAGGGUUGCCAAGCCGUAAGGUGGAGCUAAUCCCUUAAAGCUAUUCUCAGUUCGGAUUGUAGGCUGAAACUCGCCUACAUGAAGCUGGAGUUAAUAGUAAUCGCAGAUCAGAAUGCUGCGGUGAAUGCGUUCCCGGGUCUUGUACACACCGCCCGUCACACCACGGGAGUUGGAGACGCCCGAAGCCGAUUAUCUAACCUUUUGGAAGCAGUGCGA